AAAAUCAUACUUUAAGCUGUCCUUUUUAAUAGCCUCUGUCCUUUUUUUCUUUAGUCAUAAUGAUGGGACAUUCAUAUUUAAUCAGGGAUGUUUUGUGUUUAUGCCGCAGCAGGAACGUCUGCUGGUUGUUCACUAAUCACAUAUAAAGGCAGUAAUUUUGAUUGCUGAGGAAGGAUGACCUUCAGGAAGUUAUUUCUGAUGCCGGUGAUGUCGAUUAGGGCCAGAUUUAAUAAGCUCAUGUCAGGUCAGAGCGCAGGGUCAUGAGCAGCACCCCUGGAGCAGAGAGGACUUGUUGGGCUUUGCUCAAAGGCCCAACAGUGGCAGCUUGGCUGUGCUGGGGCUUGAACCCCUGACCUUCCGAAUUAUUAACCCAGAGCCUUAACCGCCAAGCCACCACUGCCCUGGUUACACAACCAUAUAUAACCGUUAGGAAGAGCUCUUCACUGUGGCAAGCCUGCUACAGUACCCAAGGAAGUGGCUAUGGAAGGCGGGCGUUUUAGUCGACUUUGGAGUUCUGUUUGCAAAAUCGGUAUAAAUGUCACCGCAGGUGCUGCUGCGAAGCUCAUUAGAUUUCAGUAAAUCGUUUUCCCCAGGUCAGAGACUUUUUGUUUGUUUGUUUGUUUAUUUAUUUAUUUAUGUAUGUAUAUAUUAUCAGGAUAUGGUGAACCUGCUGUACAUUUUGUUUAUAAUAUUAAACAAAAAUAUUUGUAUCAA
Molecule: long non-coding RNA, 714 nt
Organism: Ictalurus furcatus (blue catfish)
Lineage: Eukaryota; Metazoa; Chordata; Actinopteri; Siluriformes; Ictaluridae
Exons: 2
Source: RefSeq, a predicted model, not a curated record